AGAGCAAGGGGGUUGGGUGGAGAGGUCAGGAAGGAUAUGGGGCAGGGGCAGAUAAGGGAACAGCUGACUCAAAGAAGCAGUAAAUUGUUUAGGGGAUAAACUGCUGCUCUGUGUCUGACCCAGCCAAGCCCAGACUCUCUGCCAAGCAGGAAGCUGGGUAAUACAGAAGAGAGGGUGAAACUCACACAGUGACGUCAACAGCAGCUCUGUCACCACAGGCAAAUCUACCCACCCAGGACCAUGGAUUCUGAACUGCCACUUCUCGACCCAGAGAUCAGAGUCAGGAACAGAAAGAUGUGCUACUCCAGCUUUGGCCCUACCAUGGGUCCCAGACUUCUCCUUUGCGUGUUCCUUUGUCUCCCGGAACCAGGUUCCAUGGGUGCUAUGGUCAUCCAGAGUCCAAAAUACCGGGUUACCAGUGUGGGAAAAUUGGUGUCCCUGAGUUGUUCUCAGAAUCUGAAUCAUGAUACCAUGUACUGGUACCAGCAGAAGCAGAGCCAAGCUCCAAAGCUGCUGUUUUACUACUACGAAACAAACUUUAAUAAGGAAGCAGAUACCUCUGAUAACUUCCAACCCCAGCGGCCCAACACUUCCUUCUGUGGUCUUGACAUCGGCUCACCAGGCUUGGCGGACUCGGCCGUGUAUCUGUGUGCCAGCAGUAGAGACACAGAGGUGCCGCCUUGCCUCUCCUCUGCUCAUAAUCCUGCCGUACCCCAGAUGCAAGAGCCUUCUCUAGGACCAACCCUCCUUCUAACAGCAACAACAGGAAGUGAGUUUAUGGCUACCCUGAUCUCAUCUGUAGGCAGGAGCUGGGCAUAAACCUGCAAAACCCAUUUGUCAGUUAUGCCGACAGUGGAAAAAUGGCUACAAUCACCUGAUGUUCAGUUUGUGAUAUUUUCCAAGAUAAACUUCAUCACCACUCUUCCUUGAACCUUUGAUUUAAAGUUAAAUGCAUCCUGUCCUCUUUAGCAGACAAGUAGAAACAUCUUUCUUUUUUUUUUCAUUGUUUGUUUUAAUCUAAUCUAAAUCAAAAAACCAAACUCAUCACCCUCGAGUGGAUUUCGACUUAUAGUGACUAUU
Trichechus manatus latirostris (Florida manatee) is the source of this 1080-nucleotide non-coding RNA. The record is from the annotation of a RefSeq genome assembly. NCBI's taxonomy places the organism in Eukaryota, Metazoa, Chordata, Mammalia, Sirenia, Trichechidae.